AGCAGCCGCGGUAAUUCCAGCUCCAAUAGCGUAUAUUAAAGUUGUUGCAGUUAAAAAGCUCGUAGUUGAAUUUCGGGAUCAGUACGCUGGUCAUGCCUUUGGUAUGCACUGGUGUCACUGGUUUCUCCCUUCUGAAGAACCGUGAUGUCAUUAAUUUGGUGUCGCGGGGAAUCAGGACUGUUACUUUGAAAAAUUAGAGUGUUUAAAGCAGGCUCACGCUUGAAUACAUUAGCAUGGAAUAAUGAAAUAGGACGUUUGACCCUAUUUUGUUGGUUUCUAGGAUCGACGUAAUGAUUAAUAGGGAUAGUUGGGGGCAUUAGUAUUCAAUUGUCAGAGGUGAAAUUCUUGGAUUUAUUGAAGACUAACUACUGCGAAAGCAUUUGCCAAGGAUGUUUUCAUUAAUCAAGACGAAAGUUAGGGGAUCGAAGACGAUCAGAUACCGUCGUAGUC
This 450-nucleotide ribosomal RNA is filed under the name uncultured Glomus. RNAcentral describes it as "SSU rRNA". It matches the Rfam family "Eukaryotic small subunit ribosomal RNA", at positions 569 to 1025 of the family's 1831-position model. Lineage: Eukaryota; Fungi; Glomeromycota; Glomeromycetes; Glomerales; Glomeraceae. The record is from RNAcentral.